CUACGGGACGCUGCAGUUAGGAAUCUUCCGCAAUGGACGAAAGUCUGACGGAGCGACGCCGCGUGGGUGAAGAAGGCCGAGAGGUUGUAAAGCCCUUUUCUGCUUGAGGAAUAAGCCUGGUAGGGAAUGACCGGGUGAUGACGGUAGGGCAGGAAUAAGCCCCGGCUAAUUACGUGCCAGCAGCCGCGGUAACACGUAUGGGGCGAGCGUUGUUCGGAAUCAUUGGGCGUAAAGGGCGUGUAGGCGGAAAUGCAAGUCUGGUGUGAAAGACCGCAGCUCAACUGCGGGGACGCGCUGGAAACUGCAUAUCUUGAGUUCCGGAGGGGGAGUUGGAAUUCCUGGUGUAGGGGUGAAAUCUGUUGAUAUCAGGAAGAACAUCGGUGGCGAAGGCGAACUCCUGGACGAGAACUGACGCUGAGGCGCGAAAGCGUGGGGAGCGAACAGGAUUAGAUACCCGGGUAGUC
RNAcentral lists this ribosomal RNA (464 nucleotides) under uncultured bacterium. RNAcentral's name for it is "partial 16S ribosomal RNA". It matches the Rfam family "Bacterial small subunit ribosomal RNA", at positions 339 to 795 of the family's 1533-position model. The record is from RNAcentral.